RNAcentral lists this ribosomal RNA (2923 nucleotides) under Escherichia coli. RNAcentral's name for it is "bacterial LSU rRNA". It matches the Rfam family "Bacterial large subunit ribosomal RNA". The record is from RNAcentral. Lineage: Bacteria; Pseudomonadati; Pseudomonadota; Gammaproteobacteria; Enterobacterales; Enterobacteriaceae.
GGGUUGUGAGGUUAAGCGACUAAGCGUACACGGUGGAUGCCCUGGCAGUCAGAGGCGAUGAAGGACGUGCUAAUCUGCGAUAAGCGUCGGUGAGGUGAUAUGAACCGUUAUAACCGGCGAUUUCCGAAUGGGGAAACCCAGUGUGUUUCGACACACUAUCAUUAACUGAAUCCAUAGGUUAAUGAGGCGAACCGGGGGAACUGAAACAUCUAAGUACCCCGAGGAAAAGAAAUCAACCGAGAUUCCCCAGUAGCGGCGAGCGAACGGGGAGGAGCCCAGAGCCUGAAUCAGUGUGUGUGUUAGUGGAAGCGUCUGGAAAGGCGCGCGAUACAGGGUGACAGCCCCGUACACAAAAAUGCACAUAUUGUGAGCUCGAUGAGUAGGGCGGGACACGUGGUAUCCUGUCUGAAUAUGGGGGGACCAUCCUCCAAGGCUAAAUACUCCUGACUGACCGAUAGUGAACCAGUACCGUGAGGGAAAGGCGAAAAGAACCCCGGCGAGGGGAGUGAAAAAGAACCUGAAACCGUGUACGUACAAGCAGUGGGAGCCUCUUAAUGGGGUGACUGCGUACCUUUUGUAUAAUGGGUCAGCGACUUAUAUUCUGUAGCAAGGUUAACCGAAUAGGGGAGCCGAAGGGAAACCGAGUCUUAACUGGGCGUUAAGUUGCAGGGUAUAGACCCGAAACCCGGUGAUCUAGCCAUGGGCAGGUUGAAGGUUGGGUAACACUAACUGGAGGACCGAACCGACUAAUGUUGAAAAAUUAGCGGAUGACUUGUGGCUGGGGGUGAAAGGCCAAUCAAACCGGGAGAUAGCUGGUUCUCCCGAAAGCUAUUUAGGUAGCGCCUCGUGAAUUCAUCUCCGGGGGUAGAGCACUGUUUCGGCAAGGGGGUCAUCCCGACUUACCAACCCGAUGCAAACUGCGAAUACCGGAGAAUGUUAUCACGGGAGACACACGGCGGGUGCUAACGUCCGUCGUGAAGAGGGAAACAACCCAGACCGCCAGCUAAGGUCCCAAAGUCAUGGUUAAGUGGGAAACGAUGUGGGAAGGCCCAGACAGCCAGGAUGUUGGCUUAGAAGCAGCCAUCAUUUAAAGAAAGCGUAAUAGCUCACUGGUCGAGUCGGCCUGCGCGGAAGAUGUAACGGGGCUAAACCAUGCACCGAAGCUGCGGCAGCGACACUAUGUGUUGUUGGGUAGGGGAGCGUUCUGUAAGCCUGUGAAGGUGGCCUGUGAGGGUUGCUGGAGGUAUCAGAAGUGCGAAUGCUGACAUAAGUAACGAUAAAGCGGGUGAAAAGCCCGCUCGCCGGAAGACCAAGGGUUCCUGUCCAACGUUAAUCGGGGCAGGGUGAGUCGACCCCUAAGGCGAGGCCGAAAGGCGUAGUCGAUGGGAAACAGGUUAAUAUUCCUGUACUUGGUGUUACUGCGAAGGGGGGACGGAGAAGGCUAUGUUGGCCGGGCGACGGUUGUCCCGGUUUAAGCGUGUAGGCUGGUUUUCCAGGCAAAUCCGGAAAAUCAAGGCUGAGGCGUGAUGACGAGGCACUACGGUGCUGAAGCGACAAAUGCCCUGCUUCCAGGAAAAGCCUCUAAGCAUCAGGUAACAUCAAAUCGUACCCCAAACCGACACAGGUGGUCAGGUAGAGAAUACCAAGGCGCUUGAGAGAACUCGGGUGAAGGAACUAGGCAAAAUGGUGCCGUAACUUCGGGAGAAGGCACGCUGAUAUGUAGGUGAAGCGACUUGCUCGUGGAGCUGAAAUCAGUCGAAGAUACCAGCUGGCUGCAACUGUUUAUUAAAAACACAGCACUGUGCAAACACGAAAGUGGACGUAUACGGUGUGACGCCUGCCCGGUGCCGGAAGGUUAAUUGAUGGGGUUAGCGGUAACGCGAAGCUCUUGAUCGAAGCCCCGGUAAACGGCGGCCGUAACUAUAACGGUCCUAAGGUAGCGAAAUUCCUUGUCGGGUAAGUUCCGACCUGCACGAAUGGCGUAAUGAUGGCCAGGCUGUCUCCACCCGAGACUCAGUGAAAUUGAACUCGCUGUGAAGAUGCAGUGUACCCGCGGCAAGACGGAAAGACCCCGUGAACCUUUACUAUAGCUUGACACUGAACAUUGAGCCUUGAUGUGUAGGAUAGGUGGGAGGCUUUGAAGUGUGGACGCCAGUCUGCAUGGAGCCGACCUUGAAAUACCACCCUUUAAUGUUUGAUGUUCUAACGUGGGCCCCUUACCGGGGUUGCGGACAGUGUCUGGUGGGUAGUUUGACUGGGGCGGUCUCCUCCUAAAGAGUAACGGAGGAGCACGAAGGUUGGCUAAUCCUGGUCGGACAUCAGGAGGUUAGUGCAAUGGCAUAAGCCAGCUUGACUGCGAGCGUGACGGCGCGAGCAGGUGCGAAAGCAGGUCAUAGUGAUCCGGUGGUUCUGAAUGGAAGGGCCAUCGCUCAACGGAUAAAAGGUACUCCGGGGAUAACAGGCUGAUACCGCCCAAGAGUUCAUAUCGACGGCGGUGUUUGGCACCUCGAUGUCGGCUCAUCACAUCCUGGGGCUGAAGUAGGUCCCAAGGGUAUGGCUGUUCGCCAUUUAAAGUGGUACGCGAGCUGGGUUUAGAACGUCGUGAGACAGUUCGGUCCCUAUCUGCCGUGGGCGCUGGAGAACUGAGGGGGGCUGCUCCUAGUACGAGAGGACCGGAGUGGACGCAUCACUGGUGUUCGGGUUGUCAUGCCAAUGGCACUGCCCGGUAGCUAAAUGCGGAAGAGAUAAGUGCUGAAAGCAUCUAAGCACGAAACUUGCCCCGAGAUGAGUUCUCCCUGACUCCUUGAGAGUCCUGAAGGAACGUUGAAGACGACGACGUUGAUAGGCCGGGUGUGUAAGCGCAGCGAUGCGUUGAGCUAACCGGUACUAAUGAACCGUGAGGCUUAACCUUACAACGCCGAAG